This 467-nucleotide ribosomal RNA is filed under the name uncultured bacterium. Its description in RNAcentral is "partial 16S ribosomal RNA". It matches the Rfam family "Bacterial small subunit ribosomal RNA", at positions 28 to 507 of the family's 1533-position model. The record is from RNAcentral.
GACGAACGCUGGCGGCGUGCUUAACACAUGCAAGUCGAACGAUGACGACCGAGCUUGCUCGGUCUGAUUAGUGGCGAACGGGUGAGUAACACGUGAGCAACCUGCCCUUCACUCUGGGAUAACCUCGGGAAAUCGGGGCUAAUACCGGAUAUGAGCUCCUGUCGCAUGGCGGGUGUUGGAAAGUUUUUCGGUGAAGGAUGGGCUCGCGGCCUAUCAGUUUGUUGGUGAGGUAGUGGCUCACCAAGGCGAUGACGGGUAGCCGGCCUGAGGGGGCGACCGGCCACACUGGGACUGAGACACGGCCCAGACUCCUACGGGAGGCAGCAGUGGGGAAUAUUGCACAAUGGGCGAAAGCCUGAUGCAGCGACGCCACGUGAGGGAUGACGGCCUUCGGGUUGUAAACCUCUUUCAGCAGGGAAGAAGCGAAAGUGACGGUACCUGCAGAAGAAGCGCCGGCUAACUACGUG